CUGCUCCGGGAGGAGCCGCCCCUUGCGUUUUUCAGCUGUGACGCGCCUGCAGAGAGGGCUACAGAGCCGGGAGCUGCGGGAGCUAAAGGUGGAGUCUUGCUAAACUGCAAGGGUUGGUCCCCAAUUCGUAAUCCUUCUGCCUCACCCUCCCAAGUAGCUGGGAUUACAGGCUUGCAUGUCUGGUCUUGCAGGGUAUUGCUAUGUACUCUGGGCUGGCCUCGAACUCUCAGUGAUCCUCCUGCCUCAGCCUCCUGCAUAUUGAGACUACAGGUGUGUACCACUAUGCCCAGUUAUGUCUUACAACAACUAAAAUCUCUGGAGAAACAUAAAAGACUGGGAAUUCUGAAAAGCCAGCAAGAGAGAUGGAUUGAGAAGGGAAGCAAAACUUGAAGUCUCUCCUGCAGGGGUGAGUUUUCCAUAUCCCCCUGCUUUAGACUCUUCUACCAUUGAUCAGAGCUGCUAUAGACAGUGCAAGGAGGAAAAACUCAAGGAACCUCGUCUUUCUAGCAGAGGACUCAGAAAAUGGGGCCCUGAAAGCAGAAUGGUGUGAGUCACGAAGAGAAGUGGCCCCUUUAUUUUUGGUUGUUGUUUUACUGUUGUUUGUAUUGUUAUUUUUGAGACAAGGUCUGGCUGUGUAGUGCAGGCUGGCCUUGAACUGGUUUAUGUAACCUAGGCUGGCCUCAACGUCACAUCGACCCUCCUGCCUCAGCCUCCCAAAUGCUGGGAUUACAGGCAUGCUGCCACCACGCCUGGUGAGGCCCCUUUAAUUGUGUGUGUAAUUCAACACAAACCUCAGGCUCACCUCUAAGAUGGGCACACGUGGGUCAGAUUCAAAACAACACAGCCGUGAUUUUGAGAACUGAACUAUGAUCUAAAACCCAGCUCAGGCACAGUGGUGCAUGCCUGUAAUCGCAGCACUCAAGAGGCUGAGGCAAGAGGAUGACAAGUUCAAACCCAGCCUGGGCAACUUAGCAAGACGUUGUUUCAAAUAAAAAUGAAAAGGGCUGGGGAUGUAGGGUUAGGGUGAAGACCCCAGGUUCUAUUCCCAGUAAUGCAAAAAUAAUAAAUAAGGACCAUUCAAACUAAUGCGUGGGUAGGCCACAUGUCAAAUAAACCCAAAGCAGCACAGGCUGCUUGGAAACUGGGCCGAAUCAGAAGAAGCAUGCCUAGACAAGAGAGAAAUACAUUGUGAGCCUAGCCAGGUUGAUUGCCUGACUUAAAAAAAUUGUAUUCACUAGAGGAUUUUGAUAGGACCCAGAGACUCACAAUGGAGUAUUCCAAAUGUUCAGCAUGCGAUUCAAAAUUACUUGGCAUGCCAGAGAAUCAAGAAAAUGUCAAUAACCCUCAAGGGAAAAGACAUUCAACAGAUGUUCAAUCUGAGAUGACACAGAUGUUGAAAUUAACAGAGACUUUAAAGCAGUUAUUGCCAUUAUGCUCUAUGAGGUAAAGGAAAACAGCCUUUAAAUAAAUUAAAAUAUAGUUCUCAGCAGAGUAAAAAGAAAUUGUAAAAAUAACCAAAUGGAAAUUUAGAGGAUAAAAAUACAACAUGUUAGGAGAGUGAAAAUCUCUGUGUGUAUUAUAAUGCUCGGUACAUGUCAUUAUGCAUCUGUCCAAAGUCACAUUAUCCACAGCUCCAAGAUCAAACCCAUAUGUUGUUUUUUGGCUUUUUGAGAGAGGGUCUCACUAUGUAGUUUAGGCUGAGCUUGAACUCUCCGUAGCCCAGGCAGGUCUUGAACUCAUGGCCAUCCUCCUGCCUCAGCUUCCCGAGUGCUGGGGUCACGGGCAUGCACACCCACACCUAGCCUAAUGUAAACUGUAGACUUGGAUUACUUAUGGCUGUCACUGUAGCCUCAUCACUUAUAACAAAUGCACCAGUGGUGGAGGCUGUUGAAAAAGUAGGAGGUCCUUUAGCACACCUGGCUUCUGGCCCUUUGUUUUUUAUUUUAUUUGAGGUCAGAGUCUCACCAAGUUGCACGGGUUGACCUCAAGCUUGUGAUCCACUUGUGUCAGCCUCCUGAGUAUAUGAGAUUACAGGUGUGCUCUCACCACUCUCUGCUUGUUCCUAAUAAUACUGCUAUGAACCAUCAGGGCAUGGUGCCUCAAGUUAUCUUUGUGGCAGGGUGGUACUCCAUUGUGUAUAAAUACCACAUUUUCUUUAUCCAUUCAUCUGUUAAUGGACAUAUAAAACUGCUUCCAAGAUCUAACUAUCAUAAAUUGUGCUGCUGUAAACAUAGGUAUGCACGUAUCACUGUAACAUGUUGACUUUCACUCUUUCAGAAAGAUAUCUAGAAGAGGACUAGCUGGAUCUAAUGGAAUUUCUACUUUUAAUUUUUUGAGAAUUUCCACACUGAUUUCAAUAGUGGUUGUUCUACUUUACAUUCCCACCAACAAGGUAGAAAGAUUGCUUUUCCCCCACAUCCUUGCCAGCAUUUACUGUUAUCUGAUUUCUUGAUGAUAGUCAUUCUUUCUAGAGUAAGAUAGCAUCUCGGUGUUUUCAAAUGCAUUUCUGGAAUGGCCAGCAAUGCCAAACAUUUUUUCAUGUAUUUAUCAGCCAAUUGUACUUCUGUGAAGUGACUAUUUGUUUUGGUUGCCCAUUUUAUGAUUAAAUCUUUGGGGGAGGGUCUAAUUUUUUUGAGCGAGUUUGCUGCACUAAUGAUACAUAAUGAUUACAUUUAUCGUGGGGAAAAGCUGGGACAACUAGCAAGGAUGUAAUCAGCAAGGCCUAAGUGUCUCCUUCAGGGGAUCCUACUGGCCAAAUAAGGGAUAAUUUGAGCAUGAGAAAUGAUGGUAGGAAGCAGAAGGAUUGCAAGUUCUAGCCCAGCCUGAGCAAUUUAGCAACUUAUCUAAACUUCAUCUCCAAAUAAAAAUAAGUAAAAAAAAAAAAAAAGACCUGGAGAUGUAGCUCACUGCAGAGGUUCUGGGUUCACUCCCCAGUACCACAAAAGAAAAGUAUUAACAAGAAAGAAAUAAGACUUGUAAUCGAUAUAAUCAAUUGAAAUAUGUAACAUAUAUAAUGUGGAGCUCACAGAGAUCAUGUCAGCACACCUCACUGUGUUAGAUUGCCAGCUCAUAACUCUGCAAACUGGGAAACACUGCCUCUUUAUAGAAGUCGUCCAGCCAAAAAAUGCAGAAAAAGUAAAAUAGAAAAAUCAACAUUCUGCCACUCCUCAGGAAGUUGUAAACUUAGGUUACAGUUAUCACUGAAUGUUAAAACCUUGAGAAAGAAAGGUAAAGGAAGAGUCUUAUCAUAAAGCAAGUACCACGCUGGAAACACCUGAACCAAACAGCCACUUUUAGCCCAUUAAAGGUGGGACAAGGGCCAGGUGUGGCAGCACAUGUCUGUGAUGCCAGCACUCAGGAGGCUGAGGCAGGAGGAUCACCGUGAGUUCAAGGCCAGCUUGAAUUACAAAGCCAGGCCUUGUCUCAAAAAAAGAGGAGGGGACAAGGAAAAGGUAUCUAUGAAAACCACAAAGCUAACAUCCCAGAUGCAGACAUGUUAAACACUUUUUCCGUAGAAUCAGAAACAAGCUUGCAGAUAUCUACUCUUGCUACUGCUAUUCAAUACUGUAGUAAAGGUUCCAGACAGGGCAAUUGGGCACAAAAAAUAAAUAAAAGGCACCUGUAUUGGAAAAAGAAGCAAAACUUUUUCUGUGUGCACACUAUGUAGUCUCAAAUACAGCAAAUCCUAAAUAAUCUACCAAAAAAUGCAUUAGAACCAAUGAACAAAUUCACCAAUGUGGUUAGAUACAAAAUCAAUAUAGGAAAAUCAGCUGUAUUUCUAUAUACUAGCAAUGAAGAAGUCAAAAUCAAGUUAAGGGGGAAAAAUCUCAUUGGUAAUAACAGUAAAAGGAAAAUAGGUAGGUUUAAAUUUAAGAAAAUAAAUGCAAUAUUUGCACACUGAAAACUACAAAACACUACUGAAAGAAGUUAACGAAAGCCAUGCAUGGUGAUCCACACUGGUAAUCUCAGCAAUAAGGGAGACUGAGGCAGAAGGAUCACAAAUUUGAGUCCCACUGGGGCAAUUUAGAAAGAUACUAGGGGCUGGGGAUUUAGCUCAGCAGCAUAAGCGCCUGCUUUGCAAGCAGGCAGUUGUGAGUUCGAUCCCCGGUACCAAUAAAAAGGAAAAAGACAAAAAAAAAAAAAGAAAGAUACUGUCUCAAAAUAAAGAAUAAAAAGGGCUGGAGAUGUCUAUCAGUGUGAAUGUCCUGGGUUUAAUCUCCAGUACUAGAAAAGAAAAAAACUAAAGAAAAUCUAAAUAAAAGAGGGAGAUAUACCAUGUUUAUGUAUGGGAAACAUUGUCAAGCGGACAGUAUGCCCCAAUUCAUUCACAGAUUCAAUGAAAUCCUUAGGAAAAUCCCAAAUUGUUUUGUUCUGAGGGAGUAGAUACACUGAUUGUAAGAUGCAUGUGAAAAUGCUAGAGGUUCAAAAUAACCCAAAACAGAACAAGAAUUGAGAACUCAUAUGCCUCAAUUUGAAAACUUACUACAAAGCUAUAGUAACUAAGAUGAUAACAUACUGCGGUCAUACAAAAGGUGUCUAGAUCAGCGGAAUAGAAUUAAAAGUUUGAAAAUAAGCCUUUAUAUUUCACAGAUUUUCAGAAGGUCUCAAACAGUCUAAUGAGGGAAACAAUAGGCUUUUCAACAAAUGGCACUGAGUCAACUGGAUAUCCAUGUGCAAAAGUAUGGAGUUGGAGCCAGGCAGUAGUGCCCGCCUGGGACCCCAGAUGCUCAGCAGGCUGAGGCAGGGAGCAAAAGUUCAAGGCCAGCUUGGCAACUUUGCAAGGCCCUCUCUUGGAAGGUGGCCUACACUGUAUCACAUUUCUUUACAAGAAAGUAAAGACAGGGCCAGGGAUUUAGCUUAGUGGCAUAAGUGCCUACCUGACAAAUGCAAGGUCAUGAGUUCAAUCCCUGGUCCAAAAAAAAAUGAAAGAAAGAGUAAAGAGUAAGAGCUCCUUCAGUAUAAAUGAUAGCAUCAAAAUCCAAAACCAGGCACAGUGGUAUACACCUGUAAUCCCAGUGCUCUGGGAGGCUGAGGCAAGAGGCUCACAAAUUGGAGCCCAGUAUAGAUAACUUAUCAAGGUCUUGUUUCAAAACAGAAAAUUUAAAAAGGGAUGAGGAUGUAGCUCAGCAUGGAGUCCUACAUUCAAUCCUUAGUACUGCGAGUGCGCGCACGCACGCGCGCGCGCGCACACACACACACACACAAAAGUAUAAAGUGGACUUACUGCUCACACAAUGCAAAAAAGCAACUCCAAAUUCAGCAUAAGCCUAAAGGUAAGAACUAAAACUAUAAAACUCUUAGAAGAAAACAUAAGAGCAAAUCAUAAUCCAAGAUUUGGCAAUGGCUUGAUUCUUAGAUAUAAUGCCAAAAGCAGAGUGACAAAAGAAAAAAUAAACUGGGUUUCAUUAAAAUUAAAAACUUUUGUGUUGCAAAUGAUUUAUCAUGUAAGAUUAGACUUCUGGACUGCAGGACUAUCAGAAUAAAUCUCUAUUGGUUAACUCACCCAGUUUGUGGUGUUGUGUACAACUGCUCUGAAAACUAAUAAUGUAUACUGAUACAUGCCACAACGUGGGUGCACCUUGCCAGUAUUGUUAAAGGAAAGACUCCAGAUGGACCAGGCCACAUACACAUGAUUCCAUCUAUACAAGGUGUAGAACAGACAAGUCCACAGAUACAACGGUAUAUCAGUGGUUGCCAGGGCCUAGGGUGUGGUUGUAAGAUCAGGAAUGACUUCCUUAUGGAUAUGGGUUUCCUGGUUUUGUUUCGUUUUAUUUGAGACAGGAUCUUGCUAUGUAGUUCAUGCUGGCCUUGAACUCACUAUGUAGCCCAGGCUGGUCUCUAACUCAUGGCAAGCCUCCUGAUUUUAACCCCUGAGUGCUGGGAUUACAGCUGUGUGCCACUACACCCUGCUAGAAUCAAUGAAUUAUUUAUCUUUGGGAUUUUUGUUUUGUUAUUUGAGACAGAGUGCCACUGUGUAGCUCAGGUUGAUCUUGAACUCACUAUGAAGUUUAGACUGGCCUUAAAACUCGUAACUCUCCUACCUCAGCCUCUCAAAUGCUGGGAUUACAGGUGUGUGCCACCAUGUCUGGACUGAAUGAUAUACUUUUUUUUCAAGUCC
Cavia porcellus (domestic guinea pig) is the source of this 6118-nucleotide long non-coding RNA. RefSeq lists it as uncharacterized. NCBI's taxonomy places the organism in Eukaryota, Metazoa, Chordata, Mammalia, Rodentia, Caviidae. The record is from RefSeq and is a predicted model, not a curated record. The transcript is spliced from 3 exons.